Molecule: ribosomal RNA, 592 nt
Filed under: Staphylococcus aureus
Lineage: Bacteria; Bacillati; Bacillota; Bacilli; Caryophanales; Staphylococcaceae
Description: partial 23S ribosomal RNA
Rfam family: Bacterial large subunit ribosomal RNA
Source: RNAcentral
CACUGCCGAGAAAAGCCUCUAGAUAGAAAAUAGGUGCCCGUACCGCAAACCGACACAGGUAGUCAAGAUGAGAAUUCUAAGGUGAGCGAGCGAACUCUCGUUAAGGAACUCGGCAAAAUGACCCCGUAACUUCGGGAGAAGGGGUGCUCUUUAGGGUUAACGCCCAGAAGAGCCGCAGUGAAUAGGCCCAAGCGACUGUUUAUCAAAAACACAGGUCUCUGCUAAACCGUAAGGUGAUGUAUAGGGGCUGACGCCUGCCCGGUGCUGGAAGGUUAAGAGGAGUGGUUAGCUUCUGCGAAGCUACGAAUCGAAGCCCCAGUAAACGGCGGCCGUAACUAUAACGGUCCUAAGGUAGCGAAAUUCCUUGUCGGGUAAGUUCCGACCCGCACGAAAGGCGUAACGAUUUGGGCACUGUCUCAACGAGAGACUCGGUGAAAUCAUAGUACCUGUGAAGAUGCAGGUUACCCGCGACAGGACGGAAAGACCCCGUGGAGCUUUACUGUAGCCUGAUAUUGAAAUUCGGCACAGCUUGUACAGGAUAGGUAGGAGCCUUUGAAACGUGAGCGCUAGCUUACGUGGAGGCGCUGGUGGG